RNAcentral lists this ribosomal RNA (460 nucleotides) under uncultured bacterium. RNAcentral describes it as "partial 16S ribosomal RNA". It matches the Rfam family "Bacterial small subunit ribosomal RNA", at positions 338 to 795 of the family's 1533-position model. The record is from RNAcentral.
CCUACGGGUGGCAGCAGUGAGGAAUAUUGGUCAAUGGCCGAGAGUCUGAACCAGCCAAGUAGCGUGAAGGAAGACGGCCCUACGGGUUGUAAACCUCUUUUGUCGGGGAACAAAGCGAACCACGUGUGGUUCAUUGAGGGUACCCCAAGAAAAAGCAUCGGCUAACUCCGUGCCAGCAGCCGCGGUAAUACGGAGGAUGCGGGCGUUAUCCGGAUUUAUUGGGUUUAAAGGGUGCGUAGGUUGUUUUUUAAGUCAGCGGUGAAAGGUUGUGGCUCAACCAUAAAAUUGCCGUUGAAACUGGAAGACUUGAGUGUGUCUGAGGUAGGCGGAAUGCGUGGUGUAGCGGUGAAAUGCAUAGAUAUCACGCAGAACUCCGAUUGCGAAGGCAGCUUACUAAGCCAUAACUGACACUGAAGCACGAAAGCGUGGGGAUCAAACAGGAUUAGAUACCCCGGUAGUC